GGACUACCCGGGUUUCUAAUCCUGUUCGCUCCCCAUGCUUUCGCUUCUCAGUGUCAGUAAUGGCCCAGAGACCUGCCUUCGCCAUCGGUGUUCCUCCUGAUAUCUGCGCAUUCCACCGCUACACCAGGAAUUCCAGUCUCCCCUACCACACUCUAGUCUGCCCGUACCCACUGCAAGUCCGAGGUUGAGCCUCGGAUUUUCACAGCAGACGCGACAAACCACCUACAAGCUCUUUACGCCCAAUAAUUCCGGACAACGCUCGCACCCUACGUAUUACCGCGGCGGCUGACAC
This 292-nucleotide unclassified non-coding RNA is filed under the name uncultured fungus. RNAcentral's name for it is "sequence contains ITS1". The record is from RNAcentral. Lineage: Eukaryota; Fungi.